CUGAAGACGGAAAUAGAAAAACGAUAUAUUUACUUAAUGCAAUAUCUCUACGCACAUCGCAGCUUGCACGUGAAUUUCAUUCAUUUUCCGUGCCAUAUUCCAAGGUCAACACUUGCUCGGACCUGACAAUUUUAAUGGCGGGCGAAUGAUUUCAGCAAAAGUCAGCCGAGUACCGAGUACAAAUUUCCCGAUUCAUCACUGAUUUUGGGGGUAACGAUGGAGACGUAACACAAUACGGUCACAUGACCGCCUUGAUUUUGCAUGUCUCCCGCUCCUUUUACGCGCGAACUUAGUGCGUUCCACUUCAUACAGGCAUGGCCUGCAUGGUUUUGCUCGGCAAUGAUGUAGAAGUUUUUUUGCUUUUUGAACAUUUUUUAGUUCCAUUUGCUUCAUACAACUUUCGAGCAUUUUUAAAACGUGCGACCUUGCCAUGGGACCUUACACGUGAACUUCAUCCAUUUUCCGGGCCAUAUUCCAAGGUCAACACCUGCUCGGGCGUAACAAUUUUAAUGGCGGCCGAAUGAUUUCAGCAAAAGUCAGCCGAGUCCCGAGUACAAAUUGCCCGAUUCAUCGCUGAUUUGGGGGUAAUGAUGGAGACGUAACACAAUACGGUCACAUGACCGCCUAGAUUUUGCAUGUCUCCCGCUUCUUUUACUCGAACUUGGUGCGUUCCACUUCAUAUAGGCAGGCAUGGUCCGUGGCCUGCAUGGUUUUGUUGGGCGACGUUGCAGAAUUCUUUUUGCUUUUUGAACAAUUUUUAAUUACAUUUGCUUAAUACAACUUUCAAACUUUUUUGAAACGUGCGUAUUUGUUUUCCAUUCGGUCGUGAAUUUCGUAAACAAGUCAGGUGGCCGAUAGAAUAUUGACAAUGAUUUGAAUACAGAACUAAAGACAAAUGUAGAUCCGAACUAUUUCUCAUCGGUGAAAAUGACUUGUUCACGAAUAAAUGGAAAUCAGACUUAAGCAAUAACGACAAAACAGUUUAUUUAUCAUCAUAUUCUGCCGGAACGGUCGUUAAAACGUUCUAUUUAACGUGAUAAACCUUAAACUUCGAGUGAUUAGGGGUAAAAAGUACAAAUGUAUGCUAUGCUAAAAAGUUUGAAAACAAUUUGAAAAUUUUGAUUACAAGUAACUCCUAGCGGCCAUCUUGUUUUAUCACUAGAUCUCGUUUGUAACGUCACAUCAGGGUGGAAAGCGACAAAAUCGCAUUCAGUAGGAGCUACGAUAUCAGCGAUGCCGUUUUUGUUGACUUGUACAGCGAUAAGAUUGGGGUGUUUUGAUAAUUUGUAUGAGGUCAUAGGUACUAACGACUGAUGCCUACAUCCGAAUUGAUAGUGGGCGUGCAUAUUUUUAUGAAAAUAUCGUAAAAAUUAGAGUAGAUAAUAAAAAUCUGUAAGCGGACUUUUUAACGGCGCUGAACGUUCAUUCAAAUAAGAAGGACAUAUUUUUUCUUCUUGGAUCUUUUAAAUCGAUUUAAUCUGAGACCGUGUGCUCGAUUACUUAACCCUGAGUUGCCAACCGUCUGGACACUUUUAACUUGUUCUUUUGAGGAUUAUUGACCACGAUCCACGCGGAAAUGUUGUUAUGAACAAAAAAAUCAGGUUAAGCCGAAACGAGGUUUAGCUCUAAUCGUCUCCAAUAUCUUGUAGGUUGUUUCCAUGCAAGUUCCUAAAAGAUUUUGAUGAAAAUUAUACGAAAAUAUGCCACUGAAAUUGUCGCGUCCGGCGUCGUCAACAUAUUUGAAUUAAAAAAAAUUCUUUCGUUCAUUUAAAAUACAUGACAAAUGUGCGCCUGAUUCAAGGUUUUUAACUACGCCAAUAGAUAAUCUAUCAAAAUAUAUUUGGCCGUGCGGCCAGUUUCAAAGACUUCAAAGCACUGUUAAAUUAUACUUCAUCUUAAACACAUCUGCCAGACGUAUUACGCAUUAAUGCGAAUGUAUUUAGCAUCCUUGAGACAUGUGUAUUAUGACAAGAAGACAAUUAGCGUCAAAUUCAUAAAAAAUUUCGUUGUAAUUAUUAAGAAUUAAGGUUUUGAGCCGUCCUCGAAUUGGCAAACAGUAACCACGCAGAAGAAAGCCUAUUAUCAGUUAUCCAGCAUCUGUUUUAGCCGGGUUGAAGAAAUUUGCUCCGAUUUUUGAAUCUUGAAGAAUCAUCGUAGGUGGCUGUGUGGAUCUUUUCAGAUAUAUAUUGUGUUCAACAGACGAGAGCCAUCAAAGGCAAAGUAUAAGAACCACUUGGAUCGUUCAAGUGUUAUUUCAAUUAGAAACGAAGAUUCGGGACAGACUGGAACUUGAUGAAAAGCAUGAAGUAUAUGGCAUCGCGUAUAUGAUCGACUCAAACUGGAUUUAGAGUAUAUAUAGGAGAAAUUCACUAGCUUUAUUAAAGGACACUGAGUGAGGUUUUUCAUCUUAAGAGCCUCCGUCAAAGCCGUCAAAUAGCAAGUACAGCAAAGACCAAAGGCAAAGGUGUCAGAAGUAGAGCAAAGCUUUGACAUUAACUCGCUUAAAACUGUUCCAAAUUUAGAAAGUUGCCAGUUCAUUUCUAUUAGAGGAAGUUAUAGCUGAAAAAAUUUAAAGAAGAAAUCAAGACGGAAAACGAAAACGGAAUCAAAUAAUUGGAACGUUUUGGUAUGAGGUCAUAGGUACUAACUAAAUUUGUAUGAGGUCAUAGGUAUACUAACGACUGAUGCCUACAUCCGAAUUGAUAGUGGGCGUGCAUAUUUUUAUGAAAAUAUCGUAAAAAUUAGAGUAGAUAAUAAAAAUCUGUAAGCGGACUUUUUAACGGCGCUGAACGUUCAUUCAAAUAAGAAGGACAUAUUUUUUCUUCUUGGAUCUUUUAAAUCGAUUUAAUCUGAGACCGUGUGCUCGAUUACUUAACCCUGAGUUGCCAACCGUCUGGACACUUUUAACUUGUUCUUUUGAGGAUUAUUGACCACGAUCCACGCGGAAAUGUUGUUAUGAACAAAAAAAUCAGGUUAAGCCGAAACGAGGUUUAGCUCUAAUCGUCUCCAAUAUCUUGUAGGUUGUUUCCAUGCAAGUUCCUAAAAGAUUUUGAUGAAAAUUAUACGAAAAUAUGCCACUGAAAUUGUCGCGUCCGGCGUCGUCAACAUAUUUGAAUUAAAAAAAAUUCUUUCGUUCAUUUAAAAUACAUGACAAAUGUGCGCCUGAUUCAAGGUUUUUAACUACGCCAAUAGAUAAUCUAUCAAAAUAUAUUUGGCCGUGCGGCCAGUUUCAAAGACUUCAAAGCACUGUUAAAUUAUACUUCAUCUUAAACACAUCUGCCAGACGUAUUACGCAUUAAUGCGAAUGUAUUUAGCAUCCUUGAGACAUGUGUAUUAUGACAAGAAGACAAUUAGCGUCAAAUUCAUAAAAAAUUUCGUUGUAAUUAUCAAGAAUUAAGGUUUUGAGCCGUCCUCGAAUUGGCAAACAGUAACCACGCAGAAGAAAGCCUAUUAUCAGUUAUCCAGCAUCUGUUUUAGCCGGGUUGAAGAAAUUUGCUCCGAUUUUUGAAUCUUGAGGAAUCAUCGUAGGUGGCUGUGUGGAUCUUUUCAGAUAUAUAUUGUGUUCAACAGACGAGAGCCAUCAAAGGCAAAGUAUAAGAACCACUUGGAUCGUUCAAGUGUUAUUUCAAUUAGAAACGAAGAUUCGGGACAGACUGGAACUUGAUGAAAAGCAUGAAGUAUAUGGCAUCGCGUAUAUGAUCGACUCAAACUGGAUUUAGAGUAUAUAUAGGAGAAAUUC
Molecule: long non-coding RNA, 3739 nt
Filed under: Dendronephthya gigantea
Lineage: Eukaryota; Metazoa; Cnidaria; Anthozoa; Malacalcyonacea; Nephtheidae
Description: uncharacterized LOC114520901
Source: RNAcentral